Molecule: small nuclear RNA, 329 nt
Filed under: Ailuropoda melanoleuca (giant panda)
Lineage: Eukaryota; Metazoa; Chordata; Mammalia; Carnivora; Ursidae
Description: 7SK RNA
Rfam family: 7SK RNA
About the family: 7SK was discovered as an abundant small nuclear RNA in the mid-70s but a possible function has only recently been suggested. Two independent studies have found that 7SK RNA binds the CDK9/cyclin T complex (known as elongation factor P-TEFb).
Source: Rfam by way of RNAcentral
GGCUGUGAGGGCAAUCUGGCUGUGAUACCCAACAACCCACAGACCUCAGGGUUGUUUUGGCUGAUCUGGCUGUCUAGGCAGUGUUCCCAUCCUCCCCCACCACUCCAUGUGCAUCUGUCCCACGGCUGUGUACUCCAUGGAAUAGGACAACCUUCCCUGACAGAGGAAGACCAUUCUUUGGUCAAGGGCAUAGAAAUAUCUGCCCUCUCCUGCUCGAAUGGCUAAAGGAGCUCUCAAGGUCCAUUUGUAGGAGAGCGUAGGGUAGUCAAGCUUCCAAGACUCCAGACACAUCCAAAUGAGGGACUGCACAUGGCAGUCGGCCUUACAUU